RGGGCAGCAUGUUCCCGUAGCAAUACGGGAUGAUGGCGACCGGCAAACGGGUGCGGAACACGUACACAACCUUCCUUUAAGCGGGGAAUAGCCCGGGGAAACCCGGAUUAAUACCCCAUAGUAUAUUGAAGAGGCAUCUCUUUAUUAUUAAAGAUUUAUCACUUGAAGAUGGGUGUGCGGCUGAUUAGCUAGUUGGCGGGGUAACGGCCCACCAAGGCAACGAUCAGUAACUGGUGUGAGAGCACGACCAGUCACACGGGCACUGAGACACGGGCCCGACUCCUACGGGAGGCAGCAGUAAGGAAUAUUGGUCAAUGGACGCAAGUCUGAACCAGCCAUGCCGCGUGGAGGAUGAAGGUCCUCUGGAUUGUAAACUUCUUUUCUCUGGGACGAAAAAAGGUCUUUCUAGAUCAACUGACGGUACCAGAUGAAUAAGCACCGGCUAACUCCGUGCCAGCAGCCGCGGUAAUACGGAGGGUGCAAGCGUUAUCCGGAUUCACUGGGUUUAAAGGGUGCGUAGGUG
Molecule: ribosomal RNA, 523 nt
Filed under: uncultured bacterium
Lineage: Bacteria
Description: bacterial SSU rRNA
Rfam family: Bacterial small subunit ribosomal RNA
Source: RNAcentral